Molecule: non-coding RNA, 1117 nt
Organism: Equus caballus (horse)
Lineage: Eukaryota; Metazoa; Chordata; Mammalia; Perissodactyla; Equidae
Source: RefSeq, a predicted model, not a curated record
CUCUUCUCUCACGUCUCUCAACCAAAACCCGCUGGGAAAGAAGACGAGAAAUUCAUCCGCAUCAAGGAGAACGGACAAAUUUAUCUUCCUGGGAGCGUCCCGGAAAAAUAAUGGGUCUCUGGGCAGUUUCAGAUACCAGAGAGAGAGCCAGGAAGAAGAUAUGUCAGAUCUAUGCAUGGAACCACGGAACUUUCUGUCUGGCUAGCAGGGGAGGCUAACAAACAGAACUUCAUGUGGAUGUUUUGAAACAAGAAAGCAGGUGCCUGAGAAGUUAUUUCUAAGAGCAGCAAGUGAAGGAUCCCGGCACAGUGUAUGAAGUCAUGCCCAUAAAGCUCUUCGGCAAAUCACUGCAUUGUUCCACCCGUUGGGUACAGCCCGCAAUGCGGCUGCAACUGACCGGGCCCAAAGACAAGCAACAGUGGUGUGACCUCUGGACUUGUCUAAUUUCUCCACUGGACUAAGCAACUGCCCCUCCAUUCCCUUCCCAUCAGGCACUAUCAGUGUGUCAGCUCUAAUAACAACUAGAAAAAUGGGGACAAUCGUUAUUCCCAAGCUACAAUUUGAGAAACAUCUAAGAGAGUCAUAAAAUCGAAUAAGGCUCAGCAGAGUGCCUUUAGGAAAAAAAAAAAACCAUCUCAUUUGUUGCAGGUUCUUAAAAUAGUUCCCAAUGCUGUCCUCCACCUUCACAAUUAUUUUUGUCUUCAGUUCUAAAUCUGAAUGGCACAGAGCAGCAGAAUUUAUACAUUUAAGUUCAUAAGAGAACAGACAGCUCAUUAAUUCUUAACGUUGGUGGGAUUUGACUGUUUGCCAUCGUAUGCUCCAUUCCGAAAUAUGUCUGGGUCUGCUUUUCUGAGAUGAUUAAAGUGUCUUAUUGAUAACCUUGCGGCUGUUAAGAACACGGUGCCCUUCACGUAUGAGACAAGGUUACACGCCCCUCCCACCCAAGGGAGGGUGUGGGCAACAUCAACACGAAUCAUCUCACGUUUAUCCAUUCACAACUUCAUUUAGUCAAAUAUUUGAGAUUUUCCCAUGUGCCAAGCAAGAGAAAAAGCCCUUGUCUUCCAAGGGGGAGACAAAUAAGCAAAUUUGUAACAUAAUGAAAAUGUUACAAAAAAAA